RNAcentral lists this ribosomal RNA (253 nucleotides) under uncultured bacterium. RNAcentral describes it as "partial 16S ribosomal RNA". It matches the Rfam family "Bacterial small subunit ribosomal RNA", at positions 524 to 776 of the family's 1533-position model. The record is from RNAcentral.
UACAGAGGGUGCGAGCGUUAAUCGGAAUUACUGGGCGUAAAGCGCACGUAGGUGGCGCCGUAAGUCGGGUGUGAAAGCCCCGGGCUCAACCUGGGAAUUGCAUUCGAGACUGCAUUGCUGGAGUACGGAAGAGGAAGGCGGAAUUCCCGGUGUAGCGGUGAAAUGCGUAGAUAUCUGGAGGAACACCGGUGGCGAAGGCGGCGUUCUGGACUGCAACUGACACUGAAAAACGAAAGCCAGGGGAGCAAACGGG